AGCGAACGCUGGCGGCAGGCUUAACACAUGCAAGUCGAGCGGGCAUCCUUGUGGUGUCAGCGGCAGACGGGUGAGUAACGCGUGGGAACGUGCCCUUCGGUUCGGAAUAACUCAGGGAAACUUGAGCUAAUACCGGAUAUGUGCGAGAGCAGAAAGGUUUAUCUGCCGAAGGAUCGGCCCGCGUCUGAUUAGCUAGUUGGUGAGGUUACGGCUCACCAAGGCGACGAUCAGUAGCUGGUCUGAGAGGAUGAUCAGCCACACUGGGACUGAGACACGGCCCAGACUCCUACGGGAGGCAGCAGUGGGGAAUAUUGGACAAUGGGGGCAACCCUGAUCCAGCCAUGCCGCGUGAGUGAUGACGGCCUUAGGGUUGUAAAGCUCUUUUCUCCGGGACGAUAAUGACGGUACCGGAGGAAUAAGCCCCGGCUAACUUCGUG
RNAcentral lists this ribosomal RNA (437 nucleotides) under uncultured bacterium. RNAcentral's name for it is "partial 16S ribosomal RNA". It matches the Rfam family "Bacterial small subunit ribosomal RNA", at positions 29 to 507 of the family's 1533-position model. The record is from RNAcentral.